AUACGUAGGGGGCGAGCGUUGUCCGGAAUUAUUGGGCGUAAAGGGUACGUAGGCGGUUUUUUAAGUCUGGUGUGAAAUUGGUGGGCUCAACCCACCCAAGCAUUGGAAACUGGAAAACUUGAGUCAUGGAGAGGAAAGUGGAAUUCCUAGUGUAGCGGUGAAAUGCGUAGAUAUUAGGAGGAAUACCGGUGGCGAAGGCGGCUUUCUGGACAUGUACUGACGCUGAGGUACGAAAGCGUGGGGAGCAAACAGGAUUAGAUACCCUGGUAGUCCACGCCGUAAACGAUGAGUGCUAGGUGUUGGGGGUCAAACCUCGGUGCCGCAGUUAACACAUUAAGCACUCCGCCUGGGGAGUACGUGCGCAAGCAUGAAACUCAAAGGAAUUGACGGGG
This 392-nucleotide ribosomal RNA is filed under the name uncultured bacterium. RNAcentral describes it as "partial 16S ribosomal RNA". It matches the Rfam family "Bacterial small subunit ribosomal RNA", at positions 523 to 918 of the family's 1533-position model. The record is from RNAcentral.